RNAcentral lists this long non-coding RNA (875 nucleotides) under Phaseolus vulgaris (common bean). RNAcentral describes it as "long non-coding RNA (PVUL_LNC001561)". Lineage: Eukaryota; Viridiplantae; Streptophyta; Magnoliopsida; Fabales; Fabaceae. The record is from RNAcentral.
ACAUCAUAUUCAGAUAUUGUAGUGAAUUUGGUAAGUACUCAUCACUGUCUUAGAUGGAAUUCAUUUUACAUUUGCAACAUAUAAUGCUUAUAAUUGUACAACAUUAUUUGGAACGUCAAUAUGGUCAUCCUAUUGAAUCUGAUGAACUAUUUAUGGCCACCCACAUAAACAAGAAGGGUGAUUGAGUUGAUACUCGUGUCCGCGAAACUUAUGUAAGUUAUUGUUCUAAGUCUUUUUAAAUUUUUAUUUUAAUUUCAUAACAUUUCCAUCUCCUAAUGAAUUAUGUAAGAAAACUAUCAUGAGCGCUCGAGGACCCUUCAAGUAAAUAGUUCUCAAGACUCUAGCACCGAUGUCCAUCAAGUUGAUCCAGCAACAAAGCUUCAAACUGGAAAGGAAGCUGCCGAAUGAAAGAGUAGAGGUCGAGUGUAUGGUACAACAAACUUGGUUGGUAACUUCCGCCAAGGAGUCUCUUCGCUCACUCAACCCUUUGUAUAUAAUGCUUCACAAUCUGAUCAGUUGACUAAAAAUCAACAACUUCGUACAAAACUUAGUAUGUGGGGUUAAAAGUAUGCACAAUUAGAGGACGAAAUGAAGGUCAUAAAGGAAAAAAUUUUCUCAGUGUUGCAAAGUGAUAAUGCUUCCACUAGCACAAGUUAAUUCCACACAAGUAUGAUCCAGAGCAUGAUGACCAGCCCUUCCUUUAAAGUGCAUCCCAGACUGUUUGUAUUUUUUUACAGGUUUUUACAUAUCACAUCACUACUAUUUCUACUUCAUGGGAUGCAUUUUAUAUUUUCAAUUGCAUUAUUUUUAUGUAAUUGUGUUAUCGAACAUUUUAAGUUCUAGUACCUUUAGUUAAUUUCUAAAGUACAAUUUUA